This 246-nucleotide ribosomal RNA is filed under the name uncultured bacterium. RNAcentral's name for it is "partial 16S ribosomal RNA". It matches the Rfam family "Bacterial small subunit ribosomal RNA", at positions 127 to 353 of the family's 1533-position model. The record is from RNAcentral.
UGCCUUCAGGAUGGGGACGAACAGACGGAAACGAACUGCUAAUACCGAAUAAGUUCCAAGAGCCGCAUGGCCCAUGGAAGAAAAGGUGGCCUCUACCUGUAAGCUAUCGCCUGAAGAGGGGUUUGCGUCUGAUUAGCUGGUUGGAGGGGUAACGGCCCACCAAGGCGACGAUCAGUAGCCGGUCUGAGAGGAUGAACGGCCACACUGGAACUGAGACACGGUCCAGACUCCUACGGAGGCAGCAUG